AUGAAGCAACGAUUCCUUACUCUGCUUUGUCUCUGAAGUAGGCUGCUCGGGACUUCAUAGCCGCGAGAAUCUGGGAUUCGAUAUCUUCUGUUGUCGAUGUUGCCUCAACGUCCUUCGAAUCGAUUUUGUCACCGGCGAUCUCCAUGUCCGUCGCCGUCGUCGAGUCGCCGCCAGACAUUUUGCUCUCAGAAGUAACGGAGAAGAAGAAGUUCAGUAGAAAAAAGUAGAUUUACCUCUCUUUAGUGUCAAAUCGAACAUUGUGGAUAAAUAAUAAAUAAAUAGUCAAAAUCGUGAUUCUGUUGGG
Molecule: long non-coding RNA, 304 nt
Filed under: Capsella grandiflora
Lineage: Eukaryota; Viridiplantae; Streptophyta; Magnoliopsida; Brassicales; Brassicaceae
Description: long non-coding RNA (CGRA_LNC000309)
Source: RNAcentral